This 72-nucleotide transfer RNA is filed under the name Sphaerodactylus townsendi. RNAcentral's name for it is "tRNA-Ser". The record is from RNAcentral. Lineage: Eukaryota; Metazoa; Chordata; Lepidosauria; Squamata; Sphaerodactylidae.
GGCUUGUUGGUGUAGGGGUAUGAUCCUCACUUACUGUGCCAGAGGUCCUGGGUUCAAAUCUCAGAGGAGUCC